Molecule: ribosomal RNA, 518 nt
Filed under: uncultured bacterium
Lineage: Bacteria
Description: bacterial SSU rRNA
Rfam family: Bacterial small subunit ribosomal RNA
Source: RNAcentral
AGAGUUUGAUUCUGGCUCAGGAUGAACGCUAGCUACAGGCUUAACACAUGCAAGUCGAGGGGCAGCAUUGGGGUAGCAAUACUCAGAUGGCGACCGGCGCACGGGUGAGUAACACGUAUCCAACCUGCCGCUUACUCGGGGAUAGCCUUUCGAAAGAAAGAUUAAUACCCGAUGGUAUAAAGAGUUCGCAUGUUCUCUUUAUUAAAGAAUUUCGGUAAGCGAUGGGGAUGCGUUCCAUUAGAUAGUUGGCGGGGUAACGGCCCACCAAGUCUACGAUGGAUAGGGGUUCUGAGAGGAAGGUCCCCCACAUUGGAACUGAGACACGGUCCAAACUCCUACGGGAGGCAGCAGUGAGGAAUAUUGGUCAAUGGACGAGAGUCUGAACCAGCCAAAGUAGCGUGAAGGAUGACUGCCCUAUGGGUUGUAAACUUCUUUUAUAAGGGAAUAAAGUGAGGGACGUGUCCCUUUUUGUAUGUACCUUAUGAAUAAGGAUCGGCUAACUCCGUGCCAGCCGCGGC